AGUACUACCCGUACGCUGCGGUUCUGAGCGCGCUGUCCACGCCCACCUGACGACUGCUCGCGACUUUCUUAGCU
Molecule: small RNA, 74 nt
Filed under: Xanthomonas prunicola
Lineage: Bacteria; Pseudomonadati; Pseudomonadota; Gammaproteobacteria; Lysobacterales; Lysobacteraceae
Description: sX9 sRNA
Rfam family: Xanthomonas sRNA sX9
Source: RNAcentral